CAGCCGCCACGGGAAUACGAAGGGGGCUAGCGUUGUUCGGAAUUACUGGGCGUAAAGCGCACGUAGGCGGACAUUUAAGUCAGGGGUGAAAUCCCGGGGCUCAACCCCGGAACUGCCUUUGAUACUGGGUGUCUAGAGUAUGGAAGAGGUGAGUGGAAUUCCGAGUGUAGAGGUGAAAUUCGUAGAUAUUCGGAGGAACACCAGUGGCGAAGGCGGCUCACUGGUCCAUUACUGACGCUGAGGUGCGAAAGCGUGGGGAGCAAACAGGAUUAGAUACCCCCGUAGUCCCUGUCUCUUAUAA
RNAcentral lists this ribosomal RNA (301 nucleotides) under uncultured bacterium. Its description in RNAcentral is "partial 16S ribosomal RNA". It matches the Rfam family "Bacterial small subunit ribosomal RNA", at positions 509 to 809 of the family's 1533-position model. The record is from RNAcentral.